RNAcentral lists this ribosomal RNA (253 nucleotides) under uncultured bacterium. Its description in RNAcentral is "partial 16S ribosomal RNA". It matches the Rfam family "Bacterial small subunit ribosomal RNA", at positions 524 to 776 of the family's 1533-position model. The record is from RNAcentral.
GACGUAGGGGGCCAGCGUUGUUCGGAAUUACUGGGUGUAAAGGGUUCGUAGGCGGUGCGGCAAGUCGGGAGUGAAAUCUCUGGGCUUAACCCAGAGGCUGCUUCCGAAACUGCUGUGCUUGAGUGUGGGAGAGGCGCGUGGAAUUGCAGGUGUAGCGGUGAAAUGCGCAGAUAUCAGGAGGAACACCAAUGGCGAAGGCAGCACUCUGGGACGUGACUGACGCUGAGACGCGAAAGCGUGGGGAGCAAACAGG